This 400-nucleotide ribosomal RNA is filed under the name phytoplankton environmental sample. RNAcentral describes it as "partial small subunit ribosomal RNA". It matches the Rfam family "Eukaryotic small subunit ribosomal RNA", at positions 587 to 990 of the family's 1831-position model. The record is from RNAcentral.
AGCUCCAAUAGCGUAUAUUAAAGUUGUUGCAGUUAAAAAGCUCGUAGUUGGAUUUGUGGUUUGAUCAGCUGGCUGGGCCUUUUGGCCUUUGCUGUGCUGGUCAUCCAUCCUUGGGUGGAAUCUGUGUGGCAUUAGGUUGUCGUGCAGGGGAGACCCAUCUUUUACUGUGAAAAAAUUAGAGUGUUCAAAGCAGGCUUAUGCCGUUGAAUAUGUUAGCAUGGAAUAAUGAUAUAGGGCCUCCGGUACUAUUUUUGUUGGUUUGCGCACUGAGGUAAUGAUUAAUAGGGACAGUUGGGGGUAUUUGUAUUCCAUUGUAAGAGGUGAAAUUCUUGGAUUUUUGGAAGACAAACUACUGCGAAAGCAUUUACCAAGGAUGUUUUCAUUAAUCAAGAACGAAAGU